RNAcentral lists this ribosomal RNA (410 nucleotides) under uncultured bacterium. RNAcentral describes it as "bacterial SSU rRNA". It matches the Rfam family "Bacterial small subunit ribosomal RNA", at positions 507 to 921 of the family's 1533-position model. The record is from RNAcentral.
GCCAGCAGCCGCGGUAAUACGGAGGAUCCAAGCGUUAUCCGGAAUCAUUGGGUUUAAAGGGUCCGUAGGUGGAUAAUUAAGUCAGGGGUGAAAGUCUGCAGCUCAACUGUAGAAUUGCCCUUGAUACUGGUUGUCUUGAGUCAUUAUGAAGUAGUUAGAAUAUGUAGUGUAGCGGUGAAAUGCAUAGAUAUUACAUACGAGUACCAAUUGCGAAGGCAGAUUACUAAUAAUGUACUGACACUGAUGGACGAAAGCGUGGGGAGCGAACAGGAUUAGAUACCCUGGUAGUCCACGCCGUAAACGAUGGAUACUAGCUGUUCGGAUUUAUCUGAGUGGCUAAGCGAAAGUGAUAAGUAUCCCACCUGGGGAGUACGUUCGCAAGAAUGAAACUCAAGGAAUUGACGGGGGCC